CGGACGGGUGAGUGACACGUGGAUAACCUACCUAUAAGACUGGGAUAACUUCGGGAAACCGGAGCUAAUACCGGAUAAUAUAUUGAACCGCAUGGUUCAAUAGUGAAAGACGGUUUUGCUGUCACUUAUAGAUGGAUCCGCGCCGCAUUAGCUAGUUGGUAAGGUAACGGCUUACCAAGGCAGCGAUGCGUAGCCGACCUGAGAGGGUGAUCGGCCACACUGGAACUGAGACACGGUCCAG
RNAcentral lists this ribosomal RNA (241 nucleotides) under uncultured Staphylococcus sp. RNAcentral describes it as "partial 16S ribosomal RNA". It matches the Rfam family "Bacterial small subunit ribosomal RNA", at positions 99 to 334 of the family's 1533-position model. Lineage: Bacteria; Bacillati; Bacillota; Bacilli; Caryophanales; Staphylococcaceae. The record is from RNAcentral.